AAAAGAGAUCCCCACUUUUAGGGUAAAGUCCGGGGAUCAAGCCCAUUCGUGCUUGAGAGACCUAAAUUGUUAGGUGCUAAGAAAAGCUCGCUGAAAAAGCAAUGGUUCGCAGCAUAAUUAAAUAGCCAUAUUUCUUCCUUGCUGGGUUUGAUAUAUCACCAGUGUAUGAAAUAUCUGCUUUGAUCAACACUCCUGCGUUUCCGACUGCUUUCGUUCCAAUUAUCAGAUUUGGAAAGUAAUUUAACGAGUCGAAUAUUCUGAAGACUUUCUGGAAGCAUCAUACCCUCGGCAACUUUUAUUUGGGAUUGGAUGAGGUCAACACUAAAAUGAUUUCUUCUGUGACUGUGUGUUCUACUUGGAGAGGGGCGUUUACCUCUGUAAAGUAAAAUUUGUCUUGCGCUUCAACCAGGGAUUCAACGGUUCCUGCAUUUUCAUAGCCUACGUGUUUUGCCAGCUUCAGCAUAUUUUCAAAAGAUUGUUCAGUUAUCUUUGGUUCCAAUUUUGGUGCGAGAGCGAUUUCUACUACUUUUUGGUGCCUCAUUUGUACAGAACAGUCUCUCUCAAAUAAGUGGAUGUUUCCAGUUUUGUCUCCGAUAAGCUGUACUUUGAUAUGUCUCGGUUUUUCAAUAAAUUUUUCAAUGAACAUAGCUCCAUUGCCAAAAGCUGCUGCAGCUUCAGAGCUUGCUCGCCCAAAUGCUUCUGCGACACCUAUUUAAGAGAACUGUCACAUCAGAUGGACAACAAGUUCACAAAGCAAAGUGGACUGAUUAAAAAUGUUUUAGUGGACAAUCGAGGUAAAAGAUUUUGUAUUCUAAAAAGUUGCGAUGUGACAGCUUAAUUUUUCUCUUCAUCAGGAAAAUUGCCAUCAGGGUAUUUUUUGCCUGUGCUGAAUUGGUAAAAAAAUCAAUAGCCAUGUUUUCAGAUCAUGACAAAAUGCAGAUGUUCAGCUAAAAGGCAGACGAGAAAUAAGUAAUAGGAAUGUCCAGGCCCAUCGUAAUAUACCUGAAAUCGUUCAAGUUGCAAAGAAAAGCUGUGUUGACAUAAUCCACCCUGGAUACAGAUUUCUUUCAGAGCCAAUUUUGCAAAAGCCACUAUAGAUGCAGGUCUGAGAUUCAUUGGUCCUUCCUCAAAAUUUAUCAAGCAGAUGGGAGAUAAAGUUACCACGCAACAGGCAGCGCUGACUCUGGUACACCUGGGCCAGUUAAAACAUCAGAUGAAGCAGUCAAAUUGUGCCAGAAACAUGGGCUCGAUGCAAUAUCAAACGGGCUUUUAGUGGCGACACAAGAGGAAAGCGAGUCAUCAGGGAAAUGAAGUAGGAUGUCGCAGAAGCAUUCGGACGAGCAAGCUCUGAAGCUACAGAUGCUUUUGGCAAUGGAACAACGUUCAUUGAAAAAUUUAUUGAAAAACCCAGCCAUAUCAUCGAGCAACUUCUCAGAGACAAAGCUGGAAACAUCCACUUAUUUGAGAGAGAUUGGUCUGUACAAAGGAGACACUAAAAAGUGGUUGAAAUCGACCCCGCACCAAAAUUGGAAUCAAAGGUACUUGAUACAAUACUUGAAAGUGCACUGAAGCUGGCAAAACACGUAGGGUAUGAAAACGCAGUAAUCUUUGAAUUUCUAGUCGAAGCGCAAAACAAAUUUUACAUUAUAGAGGUAAAUUCCCGUCUGCAAGUAGAACCCACAGUCACGGAAAAAAUCACUAGUGUUGGCCUCAUUCAAUCCCAGAUAAAAGUUGCUGAGGUUAUGAUGCUUCCAGAGAUGUCUUCAGAGUGUUUGACUCAUUAAAUUACUUACAAAAUUUGAUAAUUGGAAUGAAAGCCGUUGGAAACGUGCGAGUGUUGAUCGAAGCGGCUAUUUCAUACACUGGUGACAUAUUGUAACCCAAGGAAGAAAUACGACCUGCAGCAUUAUAAGACAUUGUCUAAGAUGCUGGGGAAUGCUAGGAUUCACAUUUCAUCCUUUAAACUCUAAGGGAUCAACACGCUGAUGUAACGAUAAAGUACACACUCGUGACACACAGAACCAUAAAAACAAUUGACAUUGAAACAUUGGACUAAAAGUAGAAGGCAAAGAUUUGUAUGUUUCUAUCUGUAUGAAAAAUAAAGUUGUUCUCCCUUAUAAUAUUUUAAA
Molecule: long non-coding RNA, 2129 nt
Organism: Cimex lectularius (bed bug)
Lineage: Eukaryota; Metazoa; Arthropoda; Insecta; Hemiptera; Cimicidae
Exons: 10
Source: RefSeq, a predicted model, not a curated record